CAGUAGCCGCGGUAAUACGAAGGGUGCAAGCGUUACUCGGAAUUACUGGGCGUAAAGCGUGCGUAGGUGGUGGUUUAAGUCCGUUGUGAAAGCCCUGGGCUCAACCUGGGAAUUGCAGUGGAUACUGGGUCACUAGAGUGUGGUAGAGGAUAGUGGAAUUUCCGGUGUAGCAGUGAAAUGCAUAGAGAUCGGAAGGAACAUCUGUGGCGAAGGCGACUAUCUGGGCCAACACUGACACUGAGGCACGAAAGCGUGGGGAGCAAACAGGAUUAGAUACCCCUGUAGUCCCUGUCUCUUAUAC
RNAcentral lists this ribosomal RNA (301 nucleotides) under uncultured bacterium. RNAcentral's name for it is "partial 16S ribosomal RNA". It matches the Rfam family "Bacterial small subunit ribosomal RNA", at positions 509 to 807 of the family's 1533-position model. The record is from RNAcentral.